Molecule: long non-coding RNA, 328 nt
Organism: Vicia villosa (hairy vetch)
Lineage: Eukaryota; Viridiplantae; Streptophyta; Magnoliopsida; Fabales; Fabaceae
Exons: 2
Source: RefSeq, a predicted model, not a curated record
AGCCAAAAUGGUGGAGAUGCUGAUGAUAUAUAGAGGCUGAGGAAAGGUUUCAGUUGAGGUUUUGAAUGGUGAACUUUGUUGGCAAAAGCAAUAGCAUGACAACACUCUUGAAAGCAUGACGAGGUCGAGUGUAUGAGAAAAAGUCUAGCAGCAACCUUUCCGUACAGUGCAGUAGCUAGUAUAAUGUACAUAAGAUUGGAAUCUGUAAUAGAUAAUGAACUUGAACAUGUACUGUCAGUAGCCUAGUAUGCAAUUUGUAUUUGAUUGUGAGUCUAUACACGAAGGAUGAACGGAUUGAUAAUUGAGGUGAUGAAUAGAGGUUGAUUUC